GAUGAACGCUGACAGAAUGCUUAACACAUGCAAGUCUACUUGAACUUCGGUUUGGGUGGCGGACGGGUGAGUAACGCGUAAAGAACUUGCCUCACAGUUAGGGACAACAUUUGGAAACGAAUGCUAAUACCUGAUAUUAUGAUUUUAGGGCAUCCUAAGAUUAUGAAAGCUAUAUGUGCUGUGAGAGAGCUUUGCGUCCCAUUAGCUAGUUGGAGAGGUAACGGCUCACCAAGGCGAUGAUGGGUAGCCGGCCUGAGAGGGUGAACGGCCACAAGGGGACUGAGACACGGCCCUUACUCCUACGGGAGGCAGCAGUGGGGAAUAUUGGACAAUGGAACCAAAAGUCUGAUCCAGCAAUUCUGUGUGCACGAUGUACG
RNAcentral lists this ribosomal RNA (377 nucleotides) under uncultured bacterium. RNAcentral's name for it is "bacterial SSU rRNA". It matches the Rfam family "Bacterial small subunit ribosomal RNA", at positions 28 to 414 of the family's 1533-position model. The record is from RNAcentral.